CGGCGUGCUUACACAUGCAAGUCGAACGAUGAAGCCACUUCGGUGGUGGAUUAGUGGCGAACGGGUGAGUAACACGUGGGCAAUCUGCCCUUCACUCUGGGACAAGCCCUGGAAACGGGGUCUAAUACCGGAUAACACUCUGUCCCGCAUGGGACGGGGUUGAAAGCUCCGGCGGUGAAGGAUGAGCCCGCGGCCUAUCAGCUUGUUGGUGGGGUAAUGGCCUACCAAGGCGACGACGGGUAGCCGGCCUGAGAGGGCGACCGGCCACACUGGGACUGAGACACGGCCCAGACUCCUACGGGAGGCAGCAGUGGGGAAUAUUGCACAAUGGGCGAAAGCCUGAUGCAGCGACGCCGCGUGAGGGAUGACGGCCUUCGGGUUGUAAACCUCUUUCAGCAGGGAAGAAGCGAAAGUGACGGUACCUGCAGAAGAAGCGCCGGCUAACUACGUGCCAGCAGCCGCGGUAAUACGUAGGGCGCAAGCGUUGUCCGGAAUUAUUGGGCGUAAAGAGCUCGUAGGCGGCUUGUCACGUCGGAUGUGAAAGCCCGGGGCUUAACCCCGGGUCUGCAUUCGAUACGGGCUAGCUAGAGUGUGGUAGGGGAGAUCGGAAUUCCUGGUGUAGCGGUGAAAUGCGCAGAUAUCAGGAGGAACACCGGUGGCGAAGGCGGAUCUCUGGGCCAUUACUGACGCUGAGGAGCGAAAGCGUGGGGAGCGAACAGGAUUAGAUACCCUGGUAGUCCACGCCGUAAACGUUGGGAACUAGGUGUUGGCGACAUUCCACGUCGUCGGUGCCGCAGCUA
This 800-nucleotide ribosomal RNA is filed under the name Streptomyces sp. D104. Its description in RNAcentral is "bacterial SSU rRNA". It matches the Rfam family "Bacterial small subunit ribosomal RNA", at positions 40 to 854 of the family's 1533-position model. Lineage: Bacteria; Bacillati; Actinomycetota; Actinomycetes; Kitasatosporales; Streptomycetaceae. The record is from RNAcentral.